GUGAUGGUUAUGGUAGGAGUAGUGAUGGUGGUGGUGGUUGUGGUGUGGCUAUUUGAUUCUCUCCAAGGUUAAUAGUCAAGUAACUCAUGACUACUUACCACGUGGCCAGAGACCCAAAUGAAGUCACUGUUACUACACUGUAAGAUAGUACACUCUAGCCUUACGGAUAUGCAGUUAGAGAGAAAACAUAUGAAUAUAAACAGCCAACACCUGCAUUGUGUGGAUCAUAUUAGGGUGCUCUAGAAGUGUGAGAAGUGUUUGAGGAAAAAAAGGACUGACUGAGCUGUUCUGGGAAGGAUGGGUAGAGAAUAAGUAAUGAGUAUGUUUCAGUGCUGAGAAACACAGCUCUCUUUUCCCAGGUAGCUCAAAAGAAUAUUCCCUUGAUACUUGAAGGAGGUAGGACAAGAUAAGGUGAAAACCAAUUCUUCUUUCAUCAGGAGGAGCGCAGCCCCUUGGCCUGAAGACGUCUCUGGUUCCAGUGAGUGGCUAUUUAGGGAGGAGGGAAACACUGCAGUGAGGUGGAGGAGCUGCAUUAUCUUUUCCUUCAUCUCUGAAGCCAGGCUGUGCCAGAGACUUACUACUUGAUUACACACUGCCUGCCUACUAACUGCCAGCACCUGCAUUUCUUUGCUGGAAGAUUUUACCUGACCUCUGGAGGCUGCCUGCCACCCAUGGGGUAGGUGGGAAUUGCUGGAAAAUUAACACCAUCUGGGGUCAGUUUACCAACAACUGACAGGAGUGGGUGUAUAGAUACCUCAGCUCCCUCACUCCUCAGUUGGGACAACACAGUAGUGUGUGUUCUACCCUGGCUUCCAGAGUUCUUCACUGAUAUGAAGCUCCAGGUGCAGACAGUGGCAGCUGGCUUGAUAAUGCACCCUUUAUUGGCUCACUUCCCCACCUGACUACUGGGGAUUCUUCCACCCUUAAAUAAACUACCUGCCCUUGAAUCCUUGAUUAAGGUUGUGCUUCUAGGGGCACCCAAACAAAGCCAGUAGGGAUGCAUGUAUGCUGUGCCACAUUUACCCUCGGGAAGUCCCUCCCAUGACUCCUGUAUGCAGGUGUGAGCUGACUGUGGGGAUGAGCAGCACAUUGCUAUCAUGAGC
This 1103-nucleotide long non-coding RNA is filed under the name Equus caballus (horse). RNAcentral describes it as "lncRNA (ENSECAG00000054471.1)". The record is from RNAcentral. Lineage: Eukaryota; Metazoa; Chordata; Mammalia; Perissodactyla; Equidae.